CACAACAGAGGUUAAAAUCCUCUCGCUUCC
RNAcentral lists this transfer RNA (30 nucleotides) under Heteronotia binoei (common prickly gecko). RNAcentral's name for it is "partial tRNA-Ile". Lineage: Eukaryota; Metazoa; Chordata; Lepidosauria; Squamata; Gekkonidae. The record is from RNAcentral.